ACUCCUUCCUGUGGGUUUCCAAGAGGGACUAGCAGGAAGGUAACGCCAAUCCCCCCACUACAGACCGCCACCCCCUCGCGCGGGUCCCGGCCCCAUUACAGCGCGUGGGCGGCGAUCCAGCAGGAGGAGGCGCAGAUCCACAGGCCAAAGGAGAUGCAGACGCGGUGGCGGGCGAAGCAGUGGUCCAGGUAGUCCCAGUCCCAGAGCGCGGGCGAGGGCGCGGAGCUGGGCGCCUCCCCCAUGGCACCGCUCGGCGCGCACCGCCCGGCCGGAGCUCCAGCCUCCUCCGCUGCGGGCAGCCGGGGCGCCGCCUGCGCACCCUUCUCCAGGCUCCCCUCGGCCGCCGCGGCAGAGGUGGGCGCGCCCCGCUCCGCGCUCCCGGGCGCGCGCGGCCACGGCGACACCCGGGGAAAGUUUCCGGGACCGCACGGCUCCCCACCCUCGCGCUAUUGUCGGGGGUCGGCGGGGUGCAGGCCGCCCCCCAGCGGCGGGAGCCGGAGAAGCCUCCGCACAAAGGCUGUGGUCCCCGCCCCCGCCACUCCGCGGUGGCGCCCGAGCCCCGCAGACUCUUCGCAGCCACCCAGCCCGAGUCCCGCAGCCGGACGGGACCAGCAGGCGGGCUGAGGGCGGGCCGAGCUUCGGCAGGGUGUCUUAACGCACCUUGUCCCUUCACUAAUUCACAUUUUCUGAACCAAACAAUACACACCCUUGUCCUGGAGAAGCGCUUGGGAGCUGGCAACCUGAGAGUCUGGCUAAAUGACCCACACUGGCCUCCAAUCCAACUCACGGACUUCUUGCUUCAGCAUCCCAAGUAGCUGGAAUUACAGCCUUACCACCAUCUUCUUGGAAACUUCUGUGCCAUGAGAGCCAAGCAGCAAAUGCACAGGCUGAAGUGCAAAAGAAGAAAGAUGAGGCAGAAGGUCCAAGUAAACCAACCUGUGCACCGUGGAGGCCAAGGGAGCAGAAAUAAGGAAAGCUGGAGACUGGGGACAUGGGUACAACUUGUUGGACUGCCUACUACUGUCCAGAAUUUGUGUUGGAGGAUCUAGAGCUUCUAUGGCCAUCCCAUCAUCAACACCAUCCCAUCAUCAACACCACCUCUGAGAGAAGACCCACCUUGCUCAUAACAGCACCUGUUGGUCCUUUGCCCGGGACCUUUGGCAUCCUGGACUAGUUUGUUUCUCAGUUGCAGCUGAGUGUGCUGUUUUAACUGAAGAAUAAAAAAUAACUAUAUAAAAUCAGCAAAUGUGGGCUGGGGCUGGGGCUGGGGCUGAGUGGUAGAGCUCUAGCAUGCCUAGCAUGUGUGAGGCCCUGAGCUCAAUUCUUAGCACUGCAUAUAAAUAAAUAAAAUAAAGGUCCAUUGACAACUAAAAAACUAUUUAAAAAAAAAUCAGCAAAUGUGCAACCUCCACUUUUUUCUCCUCUUAGAAUUGCUUUCCUUUGUUUAUUCAGAUAAAGGUCUCUUGUGGUUCCAUACAGGUUUUAAGAUUUUUUUCAUUUCUGUGAAGGGAUUUUGGUAGAGAUUGAGUUUAAUCUGUAUUUUGCUUUAGUUAAUAUGUAUAUUUUAAUUAUAUUAAUUCUUCCUAAUAAGAAUGAACUGUAUUUUCA
Long non-coding RNA from Marmota monax (woodchuck), 1608 nucleotides. RefSeq lists it as uncharacterized. The transcript has 3 exons. The record is from RefSeq and is a predicted model, not a curated record. Lineage: Eukaryota; Metazoa; Chordata; Mammalia; Rodentia; Sciuridae.